Molecule: long non-coding RNA, 6847 nt
Organism: Gasterosteus aculeatus aculeatus (three-spined stickleback)
Lineage: Eukaryota; Metazoa; Chordata; Actinopteri; Perciformes; Gasterosteidae
Source: Ensembl
AGAGUUUUAAUCCUUAACCUAUCAACAUGAAACUUAACCUUUGGGUUCACACACUGAGCUAUAACAUAGAUGUUUUAUAGGAUUUAGAAGGCUCUUGUGAUUUGUGUGAUUGAGUGAUUUCAUUUCAGGUGAAAAAUGUUAAGGUUUUUUGUGUGUGUUAUAUUCAUUUAGUUCUUCACCAAUAACACAAACGUAUUUUUACACGUCAGAACACUCACAGGGGUUUGCCUUUAUCCCCACAGAAAAAAAUAUUUCUGGAGCAGAGGCCAAAAAACAGCCUCAGUGCACUGAGGCAGAGAGAGUUUAAUUACAUCAGUGUCACCUGGAAACUAUAAAUGCUGACAGAAUGGUCAAGGGCUUGUGUUUUAUAAAUAUCCAAUAUCUGAUGUAUCUAACUUUACUGACAAUAAAGCAGGAACCUGAAGUUGUUUGUUGCAAACAAACCAUACAUUUGAAAAAAAAAGGUUCUGACACAAUGCAUUGUCAGCAAGAGACCAAGUUUGUGAAUGUUGCUACACAUGAUUAAUCCUGGUAUCAACAAGCUGUAAUCACCCUCUCAACCCCCUACAAAACAUCCUUGAAUAAAUGGCCUGAAGAAAAUCUUAUUUAUACUCUUGUGUGCAUUACAUUAUAUAUGCUUCGGCCUAAUGCAUCCCCUCAUUCCUUUCUUCUGUUUGCAUAUGCAGUAAAGAGUACAACGGGGAAACACUGCAACAAUAAGUGUCACACACUUUGAGACAAUACACUGUUGGUUACCUUGCCUUGUAAUACCCAUGCUUUCAGAUCUAUGGGCCUAAUUAGACCGCAAAGAGCAGCGUUUGAGUUGGAGGGUCGGGGACAGCCACUGGCUGUGCAGGAUCCCCUACUGGGACGGGGCCUCUGCUCCUAUCCUGACUGUAAACCACGCCGUUUGAGGGGUGUGUUAGAAACAAAGUUCUCCACAGAGAACUAACCAAUAAUUUAACGGACAAAUGUUUUACUGUUCAAUGAAUACUUUUGAAUGUUAAAUACUUUACUACAAGCAUACAAGGAAAUCAUGAAAUUAUGCAUAACAAUCACUGGUAUACUGCAUAAUAAGAGAAAGAAGCUCUAGAAUACACUAAUUUUUGCUGAAACUAAAUAAUAGUUAAAGAAAAAGAAUCAUAAAGUAUUAUUAUAUUCGACAGUAACGAUGAAUUGAUUGCUAAAGUGUGCACUUAAGAUUGUGUGAAAAGCUUGCAACUCUGCUGUGAAGACACGACUUCUUCCAUGCUGCACUAAGUCUGCAAUCUAGUGUUUCACUUUGUAAGAUGAUAGUCACAAAAAAAGCUCUCAUUUUUCUCCACUGCACGCUUACCUUUAUUCUUAUUUCUUAAAGUGCUUUUAUUCCAUUAUUUCCCAUUUUAACGUUAUAUUCUCUUGGCUCUUUAAUUACCUCAAAUGUCUUUAACUGCCUUUCUUUGGCACUCAAAGCUUUUGAUAUUUUAUGCAAAGCACUUUGAUGCCUAUUUCUAAAUAAAUAAACCUGCUUUGCCUUGAGAGAUGGAGAGAGGAAAUGCUGACUAAGCGUCACUAACCAUUUCUUCAUGCAUUCAGUGCUUUGCUAAGCUUAGCUGGACCGAGAGCUCUUUCCGUGUGUUCACCAGCGUUCCAUCCCUAAUGGCGCAGAAUACAACGGUACAGACUUGUAUCGUGGAUACAGAUGUUUUUGGUACAUCUAUGUUAUUAGAAGAAAAUCACCCGGUUACCAAAAGGCCGCUGUGUUGACUGUCCGAGUCACAAAGAAGACAGGCAGAAUCAGAGUGAGGGGGUUUCGAGCUGUGAGGGUCUAUGAGCAGACCACAGCCUAAAUCCAAUGGAGUACCGCCUUUGAAAGGUGAUAAAUCGAAUAGGAAUUGGGUUGGUUUUGAUCUACUGAUGGCCAGAUGUCACUUCUUUGAGCUGCUUGAACUAGUGUGAUGUUUUGUUAGUCUGAAAAAGGUGUUUAUAUUACAAAAAUUUGAAUACCAUCAAUUUGAAGCGGCCUCUGCCAUUAUUACAGCAUUAAAUAUGUUGUUGGUUAGUCACCAUUCAGCAUGGUACAGUACUAAGUGGCACACAUUUGUUUACUGUUCAUCUAUAGAGCACAAAUGACUAAUUGUACAGAGAGUGAUGCAUUAACAUCCCCCAUUCAAGGUCCUUUUCAGCCCACUUGGCUUCAGUGUUCUGAUAUACAUCUGCAAGAUGAUCAUAUCUGCAAAGACUGUAAUGGAUGCAAGUUGAUUUUCAUUCUCUUCCUGUUUAAAGCAAAAGUCAACAUUUUACUCCCAGGUUAUGAUGUUAUUUGUUGUUGGAGCUCAAGCCGUUUUGGGAGAUUUGUGACUUAAUCAGUGAUGCUAAUUAAGUUACAAAUCUCAGCAAGUGUGUUUUUUCCUUUUCUUUUGACUUAAAGUAAAUUGGUAUAUUAAUAUUGUAUUGUGGUGAAAGCCUUUUUUGUCUCAUGUAUUUGAGCUACAUUAUUUUUUGAGCUUCAAGCUGUAGCCUGUCGAGUUGAAAUUCAACAUGCAUUUUCUGCAUGACCAUACUUCACACCUGCAGUGCAGUUUGCGUGCAGAAUACAUUUGACCUCUAUUGGCACGAGUUAGAAUAUUGAUCCUCUCUUCUUGAUGACAACCAAGAGUCAGCUGUAAUUGAUCCGAAUCAAUUAAAGCACUGAUAACCAUCAGGAAACUUCACAGUGUGAAAGCUAAUAGUAUCUGAGAAUGCACUUGUUUACUUAUGUGCAUACAACACUCUUAGCUGAUGCCAAAGCACUUUAAAUGAUAAAUUAUCUAUAAAGGAGUGCUCAGGUCUAAGCACAAAGGACGAAAUGGUUGUUGGGGGAGAUCAGAUAUUGCAGUAGCGCCUGCAGAUUAUUGCACAAUCGCUUAGAUUGCUUUGAUGGUUUAGAUUACCAUGGCACAUACUUUCAUUUUAAUUGAAAUUUAUAGUAAUCUGAAUCUGAAAAAAAUCUGUGUGCCUGGAUACAAAUGUCCUCUAUCUAUUGAACGUUUUUUCUGCUGAUGCUCAAAAAUGUAUCCAUCACUCCUGGUAUACCUUUGAAAAAUGUCGACCAGCGACCAACAACAACAACAACAUACUUGAAUCACUUCCUUUUGUCUUUCCAGCAUGCAUGCAGUUAGUUACGGUUUAAAACUCAUUAUGUAAUUCUUCUAAUUUUGAAAUGCAAAAAACAAAACAUGACAUGUUCCGUUUUUCACUGCCGAAGCCGUAAACCUGUUUUACCCUGAUUUGUCCUUCACAUAUGUUAGUAUCUGCUUGCACCCACAGGCUUACACCUACUAAUAGUAUUAAUAUUUGUGCUCUUUUCACUCUGGGUUCACAACGAAUUCCCUGUACUUCAGAUACAAGAUUUGCUGUAUAUCACUUAACUAUGAGAAAAGCCGGAUGGCUUGAGAACAAGCAUCAGCUCCGUGCCACACAAGCAGAGAUUAUCCCGAUGCAGCAGAAGCAGCGGAGACGGAGGCACAUCCCCACGGGCUGUCCAUUAUCAUUGUUGUUGGCUGGUUUCACACGUCUUCAGGCACAAAAUAUGUUUACAGGGUCAAUCACCUGCCACCUACUCAGUCUGAGUAAUUGGAAAUGACAACUGUUACAUAUUGAAUUUCCAGCAGAGAGGAAAUUCAGUUCCGUGCUUCAGUAAAUACUUAUUGCAUCAGCUGGGUCCUUUGUGCUUUACAUAAGCAGCUGCUCAAAUGACCUCAAAGAUGCUGUUGCAAUACAUUUACAUUUCACACUGCGUCUAACGGUGGCCAAUGAAAAAGCUCCGUCUGUCUUGGAAAGGGUUGCAAAAAUAAAGGUUAAAGUUUUGUGGAAAACAAUGACAUCACGUUGCAUUUGACAGAUUUUGACCCUUUGUGUACCAGUGUGCUAAGUGGUAGUGCUUCAGCCCACGUCUCAAUGGCUCUGCAGUUUAAGUAAAUCUGCAUAUUUCAUGAACAUGUACAAAUAUUCACUUUUCCACCUAGUGAAUGCACUUUUUGAAUUUUAAAGGUCUCUGGAUAAAAGCAUCAGUGAAAAAUAGAUAAUGUGAAGGUAAAAAUGUGUUUUUUAAAUGACUGAAAAAACAAUAAAAUAAAUAAAUUAUGCAAUGCAGAAAUAAGAGCUGAGAUUGCUCUUGUAAUGAAGAGCAGCCAGUGGUACCACUCAUUUUCUUCUGUCACUGUCAUUGAAUGAACUCAAUCAAGUCCAAUCUGUAAAAUUGGAAAUGGCUAACCCAAAUAAAUGUUUAGCAGGAGCAAGAGCGUCUCAUCAAUAAAGAAUGAAGAAUUAACAAACUGCAAAAUGUACAGAGUCAUUUGCCUAGCGUUAAAUAAAUCACUUUGAGUAGUUCAAUACAGCAUCAACGUAAGUUCUGGUACGAGCUACUUGAGCUUUUAAAAUAAUGAAAGCUAAUCACAAAGAUUGUGUGUGUGUGUGUGUCCUUCACCCUGCGCUCCUCAAAUAGCAUUUCGGACACACCCCAAAACAAACAGCCGCACGACUUACUUCAAUUAAGACUGAUGUGUGUAACAGAAGUAAUAAGAAGCACUCACUAUACUCCGUAUGUAAUGAAAACCUGACUUUAUUAAUAACAUAAUGAAAUUAAAUGUAUCUCUGUGGAAAUUGAUAUACAACAACGAGAGGCACAGAGACAGACAAGACGUUCAUGCUUAUUGUUUGCAGAUGUGACAAUUUAAAAAUCUAUUCUUACUACAUAUACAUUUUCACUUCUCGUGUGAGAGCUUUGCUUGGAAGCUCCUGCCAGCGAAAGUAGGCGUGUUUGAGAUGGCUAAGCACACAUGGAUUAAAUGUGUCAAUCAUUGGAUGCACUUUGAGUAAACAAGCUUACACGCUAUAAUAACAGCAGUGCUAACUUUAUGCUGCAGUUUAUUGUAUGUUACAGAUCUGAAUAUUGAGAAAAUGUAGUCUAAAGUGACUCUAAGUCAAUAUAUGUAACAAACAUGAUUAAAUAAAGAGAAAAAAAAGAGAAACACAACCUAAUGUAUCACAAGAUGUUUCAGCCUUAGAUAUUAUAGCUUCUCUCCACUGUAUAUGUCAGUAAUCUGGCAUCAUCUCACUUGAUAUGAAGAAAAGUGCUCUCACAAAUUAUAAUUUGAUGCUAAAAGAAGAAAAGAAAAUCCUGCUAGUGGCCUGGAUGCCAAAGGAGCACGUAAUUUUACUACCAUUGCUUGUCUUCAAUGUAAAUGUAAUUAUUAUUAUUAUUGUAUGUCACACACUUUCUCUGUAUACUUUGUUAUCUUUCCAACUGGUCCAUAAUAAAAUAUCCCUAAAAAUGUCUGCGCACCAGAGGAGCCGUAACAGAGUGUACAAUGAGGUUGAUACAGACACAGGUUACUAAAGGUAAUCUAUUUGUUUGUCCUUUAAACGAAUAAAUUCAACUUUCAAAGCAAUUGAAAUUAAUUUGUCAGUGAGAGCAUUUUAAAGAUUGCAAUAAUGACAAAUGCAAGAUCACGAGAGGACUUUUUGGAGUGGAGGAAUGAUUAUUGUUGCCUCCGGUGGGAAGAACUGAACACAAAUAUACUUUCUCUCAUAGAUUGCUGUAUGUAGUCAUGAUACAUGUGGGACUGUACUUCCUGUUUCACCUUUACCUGCACUUAUGACUAAUGAAAAUUCAAAUAAUCAUCAUGGUGGUAAAAGGACCUUCAUAGGAUAAUUAAAAUACAACGGCGGGUGACCACUCAGGAUAUUACAGAACCAGAGGUAAGCUACUCCUACCCAUCUCAGUUUAGUAAAUGAAGACAGGAUAUUUUUUUAAGAAAAAAAUAGUUACUGUCUGGAAAGCAAAGGUACAUACAUUCAUACAUUCAAAUAGAAAGUAUGGUUCGGCAUAUUAAUCAUAGUUAUUGGUAGAGUAAUAAUUUAAUCUUAUCAGCACACAGUACAAACAAUAAAAAGAGGAUCAAGCUGUAUCUUUUGCAGCAGUUAGGCCAGGGCGCAUAUUCUGUGUGACGCAAGUGCAAAUGCAAAUCUAUUGGUUUUGUAUUCCAACAGGCACUGCUGGUCAAACAUAAAUGAAACAUUAAAAAAACAACUAAUUAAUGCAAAUGUUCGUUGUUAGCGGUCUAAUGAAUUUUAAUGCAGGUUAUCAAUUCUGGAGCGAGCAAUCCACAAGAAAAUAAGAGGCUUUGCUUUACUAAGCUGCUGUCUGCUGUGCAAGCUAUCAGUCAAUGAGGAUAUUAACGCAGCAAAGGAACCUCCUUAAUCGAAUUAGAACCACAACUACGAUCAUCUGCCGUCUUGCUCUCAAACUUUCGCACUGUCCUCCAACCAGUUAUUUUGCGCAUGGCAAAUUGACAUCUACAUCCAGAAAGCAAUUAGUAGAUUGUCCUCGAGAUGAAAAUAUAAAUUCAUGGACAAGAGCAAAAGCAAUAUGAAGGCUGGAUAUUUUUUGUCAACCGCACUGAAUUGAGUCACCAUAAUGAUGUUUAAAUGGGCAUAAUGAGGGGGAAACAAGUAUUAGAUACAAUCUUACAUGUUUUUGUACAAAGGACACCCUGAAGCACAUAAACAAUCAAACAGAAUCUCGUUUUUGAAACAAAAAGUACUAAUCACUUACUUUAAUUAACUUCCCUUUUCUGCUCAGGAACGCCACGAGGGAAGUCAAAGUAUUUCUUGUUUACCCAGUAAAGACCAAACAAAAGGGAGAAUGUUUGUUAUGGAGGUUAUGGUGCAGUGGUCCAGAAUAUGCAAUGUUAAUAAAGCUGCCAACCACUAAAUCUCGGGGGAAAAUGAAAAGUGACUUAACUACUGUGGGGGAGGGAGAAUGGGCCCUCCAGUUGUGACUGUGCAUGAUUAUCAAGUGCGGUUAGGAAAAUAAAGGUUUGGC